GGAGAGAUGGCUGAGUGGAUUAAAGCGUCGGAUUGCUAAUCCGUUGUACGAGCUAUUCGUACCGAGGGUUCGAAUCCCUCUCUUUC
This 86-nucleotide transfer RNA is filed under the name Handeliodendron bodinieri. RNAcentral's name for it is "tRNA-Ser". It matches the Rfam family "tRNA". Rfam says of the family: Transfer RNA (tRNA) molecules are approximately 80 nucleotides in length. Their secondary structure includes four short double-helical elements and three loops (D, anti-codon, and T loops). The record is from RNAcentral. Lineage: Eukaryota; Viridiplantae; Streptophyta; Magnoliopsida; Sapindales; Sapindaceae.